Molecule: unclassified non-coding RNA, 1094 nt
Filed under: Hevea brasiliensis (rubber tree)
Lineage: Eukaryota; Viridiplantae; Streptophyta; Magnoliopsida; Malpighiales; Euphorbiaceae
Source: RNAcentral
GGCAAACUUCACGCAUCACCAUUAAUCUCUCAUUGGACUGCAAAUUUGGUCCAGGUAAAUGCUCAGUAACCCCCGCGGAGGUUAACCAGUUCAUCACAGUUUCACAAGCAGGCUGAGCCAUUGUGUAGGACACAACCCAAAACAUCCCAAUUGAUCUAUCAUCCAAAUUCAUAUAAUCCAUCAUGCGUUCCCCUUUGUUAACUUGUCUCCACCAUUCAUCAAUUUGCUUUCCUUUUUGUAGCUGCUCGUUAUUCAGGUAUUCUCUUGUUGCUGUAUUUAGUGUCCAAAUGCGCAAGUUCUGACAACUGCUAAUGAAAUCAAGUAGGAUACUUUGAGGAUUAUUGGGAUCAGAGCUUUUCUCCUCUUUAUGGAACGAAAGAAUUUUUCUGGUCGUCUCCACCUUUCUUGAGUCUGUAUUUAGAGCAUUCAUCACUAGUUCAACCCGAAUAAUUUGUGCAAGUAACCACGUAACAUGGUUCGUCCUAAGUAUUUGUUGAUCACCCUCUUGAAGUCGAAAUACUAAUUUGUCCACGAACUCCACAAAAUCAACGCAUCCACUUUUCAUGAGAAAAAAGAAUAUAUCAGAGAAUAUAAGCCACUCCUGCCAGCAAUUGAUUUCUGAAUUCGUCAACUUCAAUAAUUCAACAAUUCUUUCAAUAACUGCCUCGCAAACCAUUUCCGAUGUAAACACAGCACCCGGAGUUGGAGCCUGGGCAUGAACCCUGUGACAGGGAGCCACAAGAAGCACACGUCUCCACCAGUCUGGUGAUGGAGUGUUCCGAAGUGCAUGCUUUAAACAACGCAAAGCUCGCUCCCAAUCCAGGCUUCCUUUUUGAAUGGAAGCUGCAAGAUCCUCUCCAUGCAAUGGUUCCCCAAGCACACUAGAAUAUGUAAUUGGUGAAUAUCUCAUGUUAGCAACUGCUUCACCAGACGAAUUUGCAGAGGCUUGAGGAAGAAGUCGAGCGGUCCCAAAUGUAGGGCAGUGAAGGUGCUGAUCCAACAUUUGCAUAUGCAUAGCCAUCAUAUCUCGCCUCCGAUGGAUCUCCAAAAUAAGAGUGAACAGAGCUUCAUCAUCUGGUAUAUUUUCUAAAAAC